AUCGCUUCUCGGCCUUUUGGCUAAGAUCAAGUGUAGUAUAGUUACAAGUUACAUACACUUCAUAAAUACAAUUUCAGGAACAUGGUGAUUCUUC
Small nuclear RNA from Oryctolagus cuniculus (rabbit), 94 nucleotides. Its record names the gene U2. It matches the Rfam family "U2 spliceosomal RNA". From Rfam's summary of the family: U2 is a small nuclear RNA (snRNA) component of the spliceosome (involved in pre-mRNA splicing). Complementary binding between U2 snRNA (in an area lying towards the 5' end but 3' to hairpin I) and the branchpoint sequence (BPS) of the intron results the bulging out of an unpaired adenosine, on the BPS, which initiates a nucleophilic attack at the intronic 5' splice site, thus starting the first of two transesterification reactions that mediate splicing. The record is from Ensembl. NCBI's taxonomy places the organism in Eukaryota, Metazoa, Chordata, Mammalia, Lagomorpha, Leporidae.